This 700-nucleotide ribosomal RNA is filed under the name uncultured bacterium. Its description in RNAcentral is "bacterial SSU rRNA". It matches the Rfam family "Bacterial small subunit ribosomal RNA", at positions 94 to 828 of the family's 1533-position model. The record is from RNAcentral.
AGUGGCGGACGGGUGAGUAACGCGUAAGAAUCUAACUUCAGGACGGGGACAACAGUGGGAAACGACUGCUAAUACCCGAUGUGCCGCGAGGUGAAACCUAAUUGGCCUGAAGAAGAGCUUGCGUCUGAUUAGCUAGUUGGUGGGGUAAGAGCCUACCAAGGCGACGAUCAGUAGCUGGUCUGAGAGGAUGAGCAGCCACACUGGGACUGAGACACGGCCCAGACUCCUACGGGAGGCAGCAGUGGGGAAUUUUCCGCAAUGGGCGAAAGCCUGACGGAGCAACGCCGCGUGAGGGAGGAAGGUCUUUGGAUUGUAAACCUCUUUUCUCAAGGAAGAAGUUCUGACGGUACUUGAGGAAUCAGCCUCGGCUAACUCCGUGCCAGCAGCCGCGGUAAUACGGGGGAGGCAAGCGUUAUCCGGAAUUAUUGGGCGUAAAGCGUCCGCAGGUGGUCAGCCAAGUCUGCCGUCAAAUCAGGUUGCUUAACGACCUAAAGGCGGUGGAAACUGGCAGACUAGAGAGCAGUAGGGGUAGCAGGAAUUCCCAGUGUAGCGGUGAAAUGCGUAGAGAUUGGGAAGAACAUCGGUGACGAAAGCGUGCUACUGGGCUGUAUCUGACACUCAGGGACGAAAGCUAGGGGAGCGAAAGGGAUUAGAUACCCCUGUAGUCCUAGCCGUAAACGAUGGAUACUAGGCGUGGCUU